UCAGUGCUCUAGUGGGUGGGGCAGACCUCUGAGCUCACAGACCAGGGAAAGAACUCCAAAGGCAUCUGCCAGUGUCUGUGUCACCACACCUGUACUAGGUCACAAUAAUGGCUGAAGACAAUGUCUCACUCCCUGGGGAGGUAGUCCCUGCCUGGCAGAGAGGUCUCACCUCUCACCAAGAUGUGCCCAGAGCCUAUGAAAAGCAACCAUUUACUGAGCAUCUGCUUUGAGCUGAACAUUAUUCUAAAUAAUAUGUAAGAACUUUUUAAAUCCUACAAGAAACUUAGGAAAAGGUGAAAAAGCACAUCUGCUAUGUGACCGUAAUUCCAUGAAGUGUUCUGCGCUAACUCUUGAGGAGGUUAUGACAUCACAGGAGGCCACCAGAGAAGAUGGAGAUCAAGAUAAACAAAGAGAAGCUCUCCAUCGUGGUGCAGAAGAGGGCAGUGAUGGUGUGUAUCUUUACCUUAUUCCUGAACUUUACUGGAAACCUUCCUCCAACCAUCGGGAUUUUAUUAUUACAAGCUACAAAAACCAUUUCUGGCUUCUUAAGGAGAAUGUAAACUCCACAGGGCAGAGAUUUUCAUCUGUUUUGUUCACUAAUGUUUGAGUUAACUCUGAACAAUGAGUGGCACAUAGAAGACACUCAAUAAAGGUUGUUUAGUGAAAAUGGGAACAAAAAGCAAGAGCAGAGGUUGAUAUCAAAAAAUAAGUUAAUCUGAGAGUGGGUGUUUGUGUGUCGUUCUUCGUUAGUUUGGAAGUGAGCAACCUAAAAUGACAUGUGAUGAAAGUUGCAGACCCCCUCAGUUAUAUUAAAAAAGCCCUUGAAGAGGGUGGGAUUUCGUUAAGCCUAAGUAACUAAACUACAAUGCACAAUCUCUAUUCACCCAAGAACUUGGGAGAGGGACAUUCACUCUUCACUUCACACAUAUUCCAUGUUAACACACCGAUUGCCCUGCCCUUACCACCCACAGACCGUGACUUCAAGGGAAGGAACUUGACUGGGAUUUCUAACCAUGCCGAGUCAGCAAUGUGUUUGCAUUGACUUUUCUUGUGCUACUCAUGAGUAGUCUUGAAUAUCAGAACCACCCGGAUCCAGUAGCAAGACACCUGCCCCCCACACCCACCAAUUUCAGAGUGAAGCUAUUGGUUACCAACACGUUGAUUCUGAAGAAAAUAUCAUAUCCUCCUUUUUCAGGGCUUUCCAUGAAAAAUGGUUUAAGGUGUUUCUUUUAGAUAUAUUAAAAAGCUGAGUGCUUACAACUGCUGGCACAUUUCCUGACACCUAAGAGGUGCUCAAACUGAUGAAUAAGUGGCUGUGUUUCUUCUUCUAUCUGGCUUUUUGGUUGGUUUGUAGAACUGUGGUAGUUGAGGGGACAUAGGGAAAAUAGAAAUGGGUGUGAAGAUGAUUUAUAGAGGAGUGGAAACUACAAACCAUGUGAUCUAAACAGAUAAAAAAGAAAAUGAACUUUUAUACCGUUCUCAUGUUAUUAGGAAAUAAUAUCUUGUGUAUAUAAUCACACAAAAAGGGGCACAAAUUCAGUUACUGUUUAUAUAGGUACUUUUCUAUUAAAUUUUUUGCAGAGUAGUAUUUACCUAUCAAACAAGAUGCUCUGAAUCCCAAGAAACUUAGUAGAUAAUUUGAGAUACACCAUCAAGAAGCAGUUCAGUGUGAAAUAUCAUAGAUUCCUCCAGAGACCACUUCAACUAAUCUUUUAGUUUUCUUCACUACAUUGAAGAGCAAAGAUAUACAAACAGAAACAUAUUUGCGUUUAAGUCAUCCAAAUAUUAACCCAAUGAAAUAUACAUAUGUAUGCCCAUA
Non-coding RNA from Equus caballus (horse), 1819 nucleotides. Lineage: Eukaryota; Metazoa; Chordata; Mammalia; Perissodactyla; Equidae. The record is from RefSeq and is a predicted model, not a curated record.